RNAcentral lists this ribosomal RNA (213 nucleotides) under Panthera onca (jaguar). RNAcentral describes it as "partial 12S ribosomal RNA". It matches the Rfam family "Bacterial small subunit ribosomal RNA", at positions 765 to 1010 of the family's 1533-position model. The record is from RNAcentral. Lineage: Eukaryota; Metazoa; Chordata; Mammalia; Carnivora; Felidae.
UCCCAAACUGGGAUUAGAUACCCCACUAUGCUUAGCCCUAAACCUAGAUAGUUAGCUCAAACAAAACUAUCCGCCAGAGAACUACUAGCAACAGCUUAAAACUCAAAGGACUUGGCGGUGCUUUAUAUCCCUCUAGAGGAGCCUGUUCUAUAAUCGAUAAACCCCGAUAAACCUCACCAUCUCUUGCUAAUUCAGCCUAUAUACCGCCAUCUU